Lineus longissimus is the source of this 883-nucleotide RNA transcript. RefSeq lists it as uncharacterized. The transcript is spliced from 6 exons. NCBI's taxonomy places the organism in Eukaryota, Metazoa, Nemertea, Pilidiophora, Heteronemertea, Lineidae. The record is from RefSeq and is a predicted model, not a curated record.
UGAUUUAGUUAAUGAAUUAUGAGUGACUUCCUCACGCACGCUGUUAUUGUAACUGAACCACUGAGGACCAGGAAUGGUUAUUAAAAGUGGACCCACAAUGAUUAUGAUGACAGUACAGUACUGCCACUUUUUAAAGGGCUGCACCAGCAAGUAGGCCUGAGGCAACUUCUCAACCUGUGAACAAUAGGAAGUCAGUCAAAGCUAAGUGGCGCCACCUGAGCUAUGACAUAAUCAUGAUGGUCAACAGGUAGUGGAGACAAGAUAAAAGUCAUUGCAUUGCCCACCUCAAGGCCAAACAACUAGUAGAUAAGAAAAGAAAAGCCAGCAAGGGAAAAGCAAGCAAGGCGAAGGGAGACUAUUGCGCAGCUGAGAGAAUAGACAACUACGACCCCAAAAACAACACGUAUUACAUAAAGUGGCCAGGAUAUGAUGCGUCCCACAACUCAUGGGUGAAAGCGGAAGAUGUAACUUCUCCUCUCAUCUCUUCUUACAAAGAAAAAUUAGGUUCCGGAACGCACAAGAAGUGAUGCACCUCAUGUCUUUCGAUUGUUGAAAAAAUUGAUGUGAAUUUGUGCAAAUCCUCCCGCCUGUGUUUUUUUGUUAGUGGAAUUCACGUAUUUCGGUAUUCCUUCUUCACCUCCACGCAUUAUUCAUUCUGACAUAAACUCACAUGAUCACUUUUGAUGAAAGAUUACAUAAUGGAUAAUAUUGAAUUGGCACAAAUAUAGUAACAAUGUAAACUUAUCAUAUCUUUCAAAGGUCUCAUUAAAAGUAAAUGUAAGUUACAUGUACAUGUACUGUGGAAUUAUUGUUUUUUCAGACAAUCUGUGGCUGUUGUAUACAUGUAUCAUUCAAUAAACGUGGCGUUUUUCAUAUUAUUAGA